Non-coding RNA from Myotis lucifugus (little brown bat), 71 nucleotides. The record is from Rfam. NCBI's taxonomy places the organism in Eukaryota, Metazoa, Chordata, Mammalia, Chiroptera, Vespertilionidae.
CCUGGAUUAGCUCAGUUGGUUAGAGCAUUGGCUCAAUACACCAAGAUUGCAGGUUCAAUUCCCAGUCAGGA